GCCCUCACGGCGUCUCCAACAGCCCUCUGCCGGUGUCCACUCCGGAGCCGGUGUCCACUCCAGCAGCAGCUCCCUCAGGUGGGGCGUCACUCUACCUUCCUCAGGCGGGACGUCCGAAGCUUCGGCGGUGGAUUGACACCUCCCCUGCCUCGUCGUCGGGGGGGUCCUGUCAGGGAGGCCUUGGCACUCGCUGCUCCUCUUCACCUACCCAGGCUCCGACAACCUUUCUUGAGGCGGUUAUCAAGGGACCCAUCAAGGCGGCCUGUCCCCCGGCGGUGCAGAAAUUCCCGGUGGUUCACGACCUAAAGCUAGAGGCUUUACGUCAGUCCUCUGCUCCAGUAGCAGAGCGCUGUCCUGCUACUCAACACAGCAGGGACGAAGAAG
RNAcentral lists this unclassified non-coding RNA (384 nucleotides) under Zea mays. Its description in RNAcentral is "misc RNA Zm00001eb175700". The record is from RNAcentral. Lineage: Eukaryota; Viridiplantae; Streptophyta; Magnoliopsida; Poales; Poaceae.